RNAcentral lists this ribosomal RNA (109 nucleotides) under chicken gut metagenome. The record is from RNAcentral.
GUGUUGAUUACGACGAGGGUCCACCUGUUCCCAUUCCGAACACAGAAGUUAAGCUCGCUUGUGCCGACGAUACUUGGCUGGAGACGGCCCGGGACAAUAGGUUGAUGCC